AAUAGGAGAAAACACACAGCAUCGACAGUAGUGAUUAAGUUCUAUUAAGCUGCUGUUAUUUUGGACACGGUGCGAUUAGCACAUCCAAACCACUUCAUUUCCAGGCUCUGGCACCUUGCUCGUUGCUAACUUAAAUCACGCAGCUCGGUGAAUCACGUUGUGAACAGUUUUAUUGGUUCUCCGUUGGAAAAAACAUAUUGAGUGCUUGAUAAAGUGACCCUUGCAUCACUUGCAUCCCACUUUACAAAUUGGAUGAGAUGCUGCUGAUGAAGUGCCUUUCUCACCAGUUACAUCCUUUGGGAUGUUUGUUGAAUAACAUUUGCUGCAGCUGUUUUCUGGUAAGUCCCGAGCCUUUAUAUACUCAUACACACUAAUGAACAUGGAACGCCCACAUUACUGCCCUGGCCCCAUGACACCGGGUGCUACUUGAUGUCUUUCCACUUGAGAUUGCCAUAAAGAUUGCACCUGUGCUCCUGCAUGUCGU
This 484-nucleotide long non-coding RNA is filed under the name Numida meleagris (helmeted guineafowl). RNAcentral's name for it is "lncRNA (ENSNMEG00000015669.1)". Lineage: Eukaryota; Metazoa; Chordata; Aves; Galliformes; Numididae. The record is from RNAcentral.